GACUUUCAGCCACAAGACUAUCAACAGUGGUUCCAGGUUUAUUUGGUUCCUGUGAUGGCGAGCAUCCUUCCUAGCAGCUUGCGGGUGAUCCCCAGUAACAUCACCUGUGAAUCCUACCAGGCUGUAUACAAUGGUCUUGAGCAGAGUUUGGAAGCAUUGCCACUGGACCUUUCACAGGGCGUGAGAUCAAGCGAGCAGUACCUCCAGGACACAUUCCCACGUUGCUCAGUUCCAGCUUCCUUUGUGUGCAAGGUGACCC
Molecule: long non-coding RNA, 259 nt
Organism: Oreochromis niloticus (Nile tilapia)
Lineage: Eukaryota; Metazoa; Chordata; Actinopteri; Cichliformes; Cichlidae
Exons: 4
Source: RefSeq, a predicted model, not a curated record